This 4813-nucleotide unclassified non-coding RNA is filed under the name Hevea brasiliensis (rubber tree). The record is from RNAcentral. Lineage: Eukaryota; Viridiplantae; Streptophyta; Magnoliopsida; Malpighiales; Euphorbiaceae.
AAAAAAAAAAAAAAAAAAUUUCAGUAAUAACAAUAUCUUAGUAGGCUCAGAAGAAGAAUAAGAAGAGGAAGGUUUAAUAUGGAGUUUCACUUACAUGGAGACCAUUGAUAUAUAAUGUUGGUCAAAAGCAUGGUUGUUGCAGCUCUCAACUCUUGAGUAGUGAAAUAGGAAACUUGAAUAAUAGAGGAAAUAAAGCAACAAGAUCCAAAAUUUAAGAAAAAGAGAAGUGAAAUAGUCUGAAAUAGGCAGAGGAAUAUAACUGCAUAAUGCUUAUUGCCAGAAUGUCUGCCUCUCUGGUUUAUAUUUGCACCAAAAAGAAUUCAAUUUAACUUUUAAAAAUAUAUAUAUUUUAAAAGAAUUACAAAUUAAGUGAAAAAUUAUAUGAUUAUCAUUUACAUACAAAUGAAGAAGGAACAGUUUUAAUUUAAAAGAAAAAAAAAUGAAUAAAAGAAGCCUUGUCUGACCCUCAAACUUUCAACUUAAUUGGUUCAUUAAACAAUCCAUAGUACUUAACAGGAAAUUAAUUCUUGUCUAAGACGUACUUCAUCAUGAGAAUUUUUAUUUGAUAUUAUUCGUAUACACAGAAUUUACGACAAUAAACAGUUAUAAUAAAAUUAUUCAACAUAAUUUUUUUUAUUAUAAAUUCAACACGACUCAUAUUUAAUAAGUAAACCCAUCAUAUAUCUUAUAUUUUAAAUUCAUAAUAUAUAAAAUUAAGAAAAAAAAUCCUAUUUAAACAAUUAAACCCAUUUCAUUUCCUUUUAGUAAAAUAAUAAUUGGAUUCUGUAGCGCUGUGCAUAUAAAGAAGAAAAAGCAAUGAUUGGGUGAGCGGUUGCAAGUUAAAAAAAAAGCCAUGACAUCCGCGAAGUUUAACAACUGUUAUACAUCAUAGGCUCAGGUUCAGAUUCUCAAUGCUGUUGCAAAUAUUUCUGCCUCCGUCAAUCACGUUAAGUUGAAAUCUCCUCCUCGUCUGAUUUUUCAGGGGAGCCACAGGAGAAUAAUGGAUUUAGUCCACAGCACAUCCCUUCACAGCCGGAACCAAGAGGACAUUAAUCAAUCACUCUCGAGUCUUGAAUCCUUGAUGUUUUAGGGUUUAAUCUCACACAUAUGAUAUCGAACCCACAGCAUUUGCUCAACCGCAUCAACCCUUUUAAAAUUUUACUUUUGGGCGCAAAAUAUGAUUAAUUAAACAAGCAAUAAUGACUAGUAACAUGGAUUCAUCGACUUUGGAUCCUUCAACGGACAAUGCCAGGUGUCUCAGCUCAAAAGUCACGACCCUGGCCCCAUAAAAUCUGAACCAUUCGUUGAUAGAUUUAUAUUAUUAUUAUAUAACGUGGAAUUCGGGAUUCUUGAAACAAAUUUCUCAUUACGCAUUAUCACCUCAACAAAAACUUCAUUCUGCUCAUUGCACUAAUUCUUGAAUUUCAAAGCUAGUCAAGAAUUUUCACUAUGCACACAUUUUAUCAUAAACGUGCUUGUAGCAUGCAAAAAUAGCAAAAAAUUGUACAUCUAAACAAAAUAAUUGCCUUGUUAAGUAAUGCUUUCAACUGAAGGUUGAUCUUGAUCCACAUAAAUGAAUAUGGGUUUGCCAUCUUUGCCAUUCAAUUGCUGAAUGAUGCAUGCAAAUGAGGGAGAGUGCCAGUGGCCCCUUUAUAUAUCCGCUUAAGCAUUGUGUAAAUGUAAUGUCAUUAACAAGUGACAACUUGAUUUUUAUUCUCUCACUUGUCGUACAAAUUGAUCUAAACAGUAGGAUACUUGAUCAAUACAUGAAUGGAGAUGACUAUACUAACCUCAUUAUGUACCAUGAUCAUCUCCAAGUUUCAAAUGAAAAAGAUCCAUUCAUCAAAUCUUGCGACUUCAAAGCCAAUGAAUCGCACUACAGCAACCUAAACAUUAAGAAAUUCAUUGAUUAAAAAUAGCAUCAUUUUCAGAGAGAACUGGUCCAUUAUUAGCAUGGUACCUCAUCAAUCAAGUUCUUGAGUGCACUAGGCAUAGACAAAGGCCAAAUGCAUCAAUCGCAGUGUUUUGUUGCUCUUUUAGUCUGAUAAUGUCAAUCAAUUACAAAUUGAAAGAGUUUUUCUUGUUUAAUCCAUUUUAUGUAAUAAGAUAAGUCAUAUCAACUUUUUUCGACUAAGAUAUAUUUCACCACAUCAGUUUGUGUGUACCCACGCAUCAUGGUGGUAUGAAGUAACUGAGUUGAUUGGUCACAAAAAUAAAACUUGAAGGGCUUAAUGGAUUAAAACAAGUAGUCAGAUAUUCAAUAAAUUUCCCGAACAUAUUCAGGGGCGAGUUUAUGCAUUUGGCUAUGCUGAUAUGAUGAAUAAUCCUAAAUCCUAAUUACAUAAAAGCAACAAUGUAGAAAUCUGAGUGAGGAAAGGAAAAUCUUAUAGUAAUCAAAAUAUUCCUCCAUAUCAGCAUUAUUUGAUCAUCUGCACCCUCUAACAAAUAGCAAAAAAAUAGAAAUAAUAAAAUUACCUAUAUUCAGUUCAGCAAAACAAUGUUGCAGUAAACUUUUGCAGCCCUGGAAAAAGUGGCGAAUUAAGCUAAAAUUUACAUAAUACUACGAAUUUUCUUAUAAGAAUAAAUCAAAUUUUCAAUGGAAUCCAAUACACUUGAAUGUUUAAGAGUUAAAUCACAUUUGUUGAUAUGGUCUUAAUGACUGCAAAAAAUAUUUGUGGACUGGAAGUAAAUUUGCGACAAAUGAAAGCAUUAAGAAGUAAACUUACACUUUUAUGCUUAAAUGAGAAACUGCCACGAUGGAUAUGCCUUUGUCAAAAUAUAUCCUCUAGCACCUCAUUUUAGCACCAAGUGUUGCGGACUAAUGUUCCCUGUUAACCAAAAAUUUGAAUCCAAUCAUUUGGUUUGAGGUUUCUAUAUAUAGUAAAAACAGAAGCUUAUACCCUUCAGGAGUCAGAUAGAUGUGUGAACAUUCGUUGGCCCUUAAAAUUAAAUGAACUAUGGAUAAAUUCUGAUCUAAGGUACAACACAUACUUAAUUUGUUUUAUUUGUAGCCCACUUCUUGCAUCAAAUGACGAUAACUACGGCCACGUAUAAUCCGCUGCCACAGAUACUGGAGAAACUUCGGGAAACUCAUACACAUCCGUUCCUGGACAAGCCAUCUCACAAGACAUCUCUGAAUGGCUCUAGAUACAGGGCGAAUGAAGGAUGGAUCACGUUGGGCAUAAAGCAAACCAACCUCUAACAAUGCAAGAGUACAAGGAUCAUCAAAGAUCUCAAGGCUAUAGUCUGCCAGAUAAUUAACCCCAAAUUCCGUGUUAACUAGACAUUGAACAAAGUCCAUUAGUUGAAGCUUAGCCCAUUCCAAAUAAAGAGCAGGGUCGUCUCUCUUUGGAGGAUGCCUCCAAGGAGCACCAAAACAUAAUAUAUCUUUUGAAAAUUUUCCACUUCGUGCAUCAUCAGCAAACUUUUGCAGGAUUCCAAGUGCUUUAUCCAUGGCAGGAUUAACCACAGUGACCUGCAAAUAUGCUAAAUAUGCAUCUAUGAUGUCCUCAAAUGUACUAGCCUUGUCAUCCAAUACGAUCUGGUAAUAGUAGCUUUGUUUAAGUGCAUAAAGCUCAAAUAGAUGCCGAGGGUUUGGCCCAAGCACCUCAACAAUCACCGCCCACUCGGAAUGACUGAAGUAGUCAGUAACCAUAUGCAUUUUAGCUUCUUGUGCAGUCCAUCCAAAGGUCUCACGAGAGAUGAAUAUGUCUGGAAAUCCAAAAUCCACGUAGGCUUGGUAUGAAUAGUAGCUAUCAGAUGAGAUGAGCAUAACAGGCAGGCAUCUCUCAUUCGCACCCAAAGCAAUAAUUCUCCAUAUCAAACUGUCAUGAUACAAGGGUGCAGACACCAUUGAAUCAUCUGUUAAAAUGGCAUUUUUAAGAACUUCAAUAUUGUUUAUAACCAACUUCGGCUGAAAGUAAUCAAUCUCAGCAGCUUGUGACAGCAACUCGAGCAACAAACAAGGCCAAUCGGUGCAUGAAUUCGCCAAUGACCUAGAAAACCCACCAGUCCUAUUCAAAUGAGCAAUGGCAUUAGCUCUCCACCCUUGCUGCACCUUAAUCACCUCCUUAGCCAAUCUCAACGCUACAAUCGCCUCUCUAAAAUAAGAAGCCUCCUCUAAUGACAAGUUAUUUCCUUUACCCUCCAAUCCCAGAAGCUCAUCAAUCUCUUUGGCAUUUGAUCGAGCAGAUAGCGCGAAAACUGCCCGCUCCCAAAGAACCGAACCGGAAACCUUGUCAGAAAUGGUAUUUCUUGAUCUUGAGGGACUGCUGGGAUUAUUCAGGAUUAUUAUCCGGCGAAGGGCAGUGUCGAGGCGGUGCCAUUUGUUUAGAGUGGAGAAGAUUUGAUUGGAGGUAAUGGUGCCAAGCCGGAUACCCUUAUAAGCCAUUGAUUCAAGGCAAGUUUCGAGUUGGGUUUUGCAACUGGAAAGAGUGGAAGAAUCACAGGUAGACCAAGACGCCCAUGGGAAAGAGUUGUUGUGCUGCGGGUGGUGGUCCUUGAUCGAUUGAGCAAAGUCCACAUAACCAGUGAUAUGAGGACCUUUGUUCCAGUCGUUAAGGAGACGUUCGAGGAUGAGAGUUGUUUUGCCGACGCCGCGGGGUCCAUGGAGUAUGAGAGGCUGAGGGACGCGGUGGUGCUGAGCGUGGUUGUUUAGGAUUGUUUCUAGUAAUGGUCUUGGUAUUAUCUUCCAUGUCUUGUUCACCAUCUCUCUAUCUCUCUGCGCUGCCGGAGGCUGUGGAAGGGACAGAUUACAGAGAGCGUGUAGGGAAUUCAAUUAAGCUUACGGGGAUAGGGUCUUAGAGAGUUGGCA